This 914-nucleotide ribosomal RNA is filed under the name Enterococcus faecalis. RNAcentral describes it as "bacterial SSU rRNA". It matches the Rfam family "Bacterial small subunit ribosomal RNA", at positions 1 to 952 of the family's 1533-position model. Lineage: Bacteria; Bacillati; Bacillota; Bacilli; Lactobacillales; Enterococcaceae. The record is from RNAcentral.
GGCGUCUUGAUUCAACCUGGCUCAGGACGAACGCUGGCGGCGUGCCUAAUACAUGCAAGUCGAACGCUUCUUUCCUCCCGAGUGCUUGCACUCAAUUGGAAAGAGGAGUGGCGGACGGGUGAGUAACACGUGGGUAACCUACCCAUCAGAGGGGGAUAACACUUGGAAACAGGUGCUAAUACCGCAUAACAGUUUAUGCCGCAUGGCAUAAGAGUGAAAGGCGCUUUCGGGUGUCGCUGAUGGAUGGACCCGCGGUGCAUUAGCUAGUUGGUGAGGUAACGGCUCACCAAGGCCACGAUGCAUAGCCGACCUGAGAGGGUGAUCGGCCACACUGGGACUGAGACACGGCCCAGACUCCUACGGGAGGCAGCAGUAGGGAAUCUUCGGCAAUGGACGAAAGUCUGACCGAGCAACGCCGCGUGAGUGAAGAAGGUUUUCGGAUCGUAAAACUCCACGGCUAACUACGUGCCAGCAGCCGCGGUAAUACGUAGGUGGCAAGCGUUGUCCGGAUUUAUUGGGCGUAAAGCGAGCGCAGGCGGUUUCUUAAGUCUGAUGUGAAAGCCCCCGGCUUAACCGGGGAGGGUCAUUGGAAACUGGGAGACUUGAGUGCAGAAGAGGAGAGUGGAAUUCCAUGUGUAGCGGUGAAAUGCGUAGAUAUAUGGAGGAACACCAGUGGCGAAGGCGGCUCUCUGGUCUGUAACUGACGCUGAGGCUCGAAAGCGUGGGGAGCAAACAGGAUUAGAUACCCUGGUAGUCCACGCCGUAAACGAUGAGUGCUAAGUGUUGGAGGGUUUCCGCCCUUCAGUGCUGCAGCAAACGCAUUAAGCACUCCGCCUGGGGAGUACGACCGCAAGGUUGAAACUCAAAGGAAUUGACGGGGGCCCGCACAAGCGGUGGAGCAUGUGGUUUAAUUC